RNAcentral lists this long non-coding RNA (225 nucleotides) under Nicotiana benthamiana. RNAcentral's name for it is "long non-coding RNA (NBEN_LNC023480)". Lineage: Eukaryota; Viridiplantae; Streptophyta; Magnoliopsida; Solanales; Solanaceae. The record is from RNAcentral.
AACUAAUGAUGUUUCUGCACGUUUAGCAGGUUGUCUACUAAAAGUUGGAGUUUCUACAGGUGGCUGUGCCGGUGCAUUACUUGAGUUAUGAACAGAACUAGUUGGUGUAUCAUUUAAAUCUGGUGCUUGGGUUUCAUCAUCAUCAUUAUCAUCCUCAUUUUCCUCUAAGAUAGGUUCAUUAGGAUAAAGAGCAUUCAUAAUUUCAUCAUCUAAUCUAUCACCUAC